UACGUAGGGUCCGAGCGUUUGUCCGGAAUUAUUGGGCGUAAAGGGCUCGUAGGCGGUCUGUUGCGUCGGGAGUGAAAACCCAGGGCUUAACCCUGGGCCUGCUUUCGAUACGGGCAGACUAGAGGCAUUCAGGGGAGAACGGAAUUCCUGGUGUAGCGGUGAAAUGCGCAGAUAUCAGGAGGAACACCGGUGGCGAAGGCGGUUCUCUGGGAAUGUUCUGACGCUGAGAAGCGAAAGCAUGGGGAGCGAACAGG
Molecule: ribosomal RNA, 254 nt
Filed under: uncultured bacterium
Lineage: Bacteria
Description: partial 16S ribosomal RNA
Rfam family: Bacterial small subunit ribosomal RNA
Source: RNAcentral